Epinephelus moara (kelp grouper) is the source of this 301-nucleotide long non-coding RNA. RefSeq lists it as uncharacterized. NCBI's taxonomy places the organism in Eukaryota, Metazoa, Chordata, Actinopteri, Perciformes, Serranidae. The record is from RefSeq and is a predicted model, not a curated record. The transcript has 2 exons.
GAGCUUGAGAGAGAGUGAAGAAAAGGAAGGAAUCAGUGGAAAAGUCAUAAACAGGGUGAAUUACAUCUGCUCUGCUUUUCUUAGUCAACAAUGUGCAUGAUUGCGACAGCUUCACGAGUGAGACUUUUGGGGUAUACGACACUCUGCUCCAUGAUGGACUGAAACAACUCCUCCUCGUCAAUACCAUCAAACGGUGGCUGGAAGGGAAAGACAGAGAGAGAAGAAAAAAGAGAGAUUAACCACGAGGACCUGUGAACAAAUUGAAAGCAAAUAUAUUGAAAUUAAAGUUCUCUUGAAAGUC